CGAAAGCCUGACGGAGCAACGCCGCGUGAGGGAAGAAUGCCUGUGGGUUGUAAACCUCUUUUCUCAGGGAAGAAGAACUGACGGUACCUGAGGAAUCAGCAUCGGCUAACUCCGUGCCAGCAGCCGCGGUAAUACGGAGGAUGCAAGCGUUAUCCGGAAUUAUUGGGCGUAAAGCGUCCGCAGGUGGUGAUUCAAGUCUGCUGUCAAAGAGUGGAGCUUAACUUCAUAAAGGCAGUGGAAACUGAAUAACUAGAGUGCGGUAGGGGUAGAGGGAAUUCCAGGUGUAGCGGUGAAAUGCGUAGAUAUUGGGAAGAACACCGGUGGCGAAAGCGCUCUACUGGGCUACAACUGACGCUGAUGGACGAAAGCUAGGGGAGCG
RNAcentral lists this ribosomal RNA (379 nucleotides) under uncultured Halomicronema sp. Its description in RNAcentral is "bacterial SSU rRNA". It matches the Rfam family "Bacterial small subunit ribosomal RNA", at positions 376 to 770 of the family's 1533-position model. The record is from RNAcentral. Lineage: Bacteria; Bacillati; Cyanobacteriota; Cyanophyceae; Nodosilineales; Nodosilineaceae.